AGAGUUUGAUCCUGGCUCAGGAUGAACGCUAGCGGCAGGCUUAAUACAUGCAAGUCGUGGGGCAGCAUGACUGUAGCAAUACAGUUGAUGGCGACCGGCAAACGGGUGCGGAACACGUACACAACCUUCCUUUAAGUGGGGAAUAGCCCGGGGAAACCCGGAUUAAUACCCCGUAAUAUAAUGAAGUGGCAUCACUUUAUUAUUAUAGCUCCGGCGCUUGAAGAUGGGUGUGCGACUGAUUAGGCAGUUGGCGGGGUAACGGCCCACCAAACCUACGAUCAGUAACUGGUGUGAGAGCACGACCAGUCACACGGGCACUGAGACACGGGCCCGACUCCUACGGGAGGCAGCAGUAAGGAAUAUUGGUCAAUGGACGCAAGUCUGAACCAGCCAUGCCGCGUGGAGGAUGAAGGUCCUCUGGAUUGUAAACUUCUUUUAUCUGGGAAGAAAUGCAUUUUUUCUAAAAUGCUUGACGGUACCAGGUGAAUAAGCACCGGCUAACUCCGUGCCAGCAGCCGCGGUAAUACGGAGGGUGCAAGCGUUAUCCGGAUUCACUGGGUUUAAAGGGUGCGUAGGUGGGUUGGUAAGUCAGUGGUGAAAUCUCCAGGCUUAACUUGGAAACUGCCAUUGAUACUAUCAAUCUUGAAUACCGUGGAGGUCAGCGGAAUAUGUCAUGUAGCGGUGAAAUGCUUAGAUAUGACAUAGAACACCAAUUGCGAAGGCAGCUGGCUACACGAAUAUUGACACUGAUGCACGAAAGCGUGGGGAUCAAACAGGAUUAGAUACCCCCGUAGUCC
This 797-nucleotide ribosomal RNA is filed under the name uncultured bacterium. RNAcentral's name for it is "bacterial SSU rRNA". It matches the Rfam family "Bacterial small subunit ribosomal RNA", at positions 8 to 796 of the family's 1533-position model. The record is from RNAcentral.